Molecule: long non-coding RNA, 130 nt
Filed under: Canis lupus dingo (dingo)
Lineage: Eukaryota; Metazoa; Chordata; Mammalia; Carnivora; Canidae
Description: lncRNA (ENSCAFG00020021137.1)
Source: RNAcentral
AACAACUGGGAUUCACAGCAAAUCGCUUAAUUAAAGCAUGGAAUAUGGAAAACAGCAGAAAAACAUCUCAUCUGAUUUAGUCUCAUCUGAAAUUCUGUAGAAAUUUCAAACAUUAUUUUUGACUGCUGCA